This 694-nucleotide ribosomal RNA is filed under the name uncultured bacterium. Its description in RNAcentral is "partial 16S ribosomal RNA". It matches the Rfam family "Bacterial small subunit ribosomal RNA", at positions 32 to 715 of the family's 1533-position model. The record is from RNAcentral.
AACGCUAGCUACAGGCUUAACACAUGCAAGUCGCGGGGUAACGAGAGGGAAGCUUGCUUUCCUUGUCGACGACCGGCGCACGGGUGAGUAACGCGUAUCCAACCUGCCCAUUACCACGGGAUACCCCGUCGAAAGGCGGCCUAAUACCGUAUGCAGUCGUCAGAUGACAUCAGAGGACGACGAAAGGAUUGGCGGUAAUGGAUGGGGAUGCGUCUGAUUAGGUAGUUGGAGGGGUAACGGCCCACCAAGCCAUCGAUCGGUAGGGGUUCUGAGAGGAAGGUCCCCCACAUUGGAACUGAGACACGGUCCAAACUCCUACGGGAGGCAGCAGUGAGGAAUAUUGGUCAAUGGACGAGAGUCUGAACCAGCCAAGUAGCGUGAAGGAUGACUGCCCUAUGGGUUGUAAACUUCUUUUAUACGGGAAUAAAGUGGAGUAUGCAUACUCCUUUGUAUGUACCGUAUGAAUAAGGAUCGGCUAACUCCGUGCCAGCAGCCGCGGUAAUACGGAGGAUCCGAGCGUUAUCCGGAUUUAUUGGGUUUAAAGGGAGCGUAGGCGGGUGCUUAAGUCAGUUGUGAAAGUUUGCGGCUCAACCGUAAAAUUGCAGUUGAAACUGGCAGUCUUGAGUACAGUAGAGGUGGGCGGAAUUCGUGGUGUAGCGGUGAAAUGCUUAGAUAUCACGAAGAACUCCGAUUG